Molecule: ribosomal RNA, 460 nt
Filed under: uncultured bacterium
Lineage: Bacteria
Description: partial 16S ribosomal RNA
Rfam family: Bacterial small subunit ribosomal RNA
Source: RNAcentral
CCUACGGGAGGCAGCAGUGAGGAAUAUUGGUCAAUGGGCGUAAGCCUGAACCAGCCAAGUCGCGUGAGGGAUGAAGGUUCUAUGGAUCGUAAACCUCUUUUAUAAGGGAAUAAAGUGUGGGACGUGUCCUGUUUUGUAUGUCCCUUAUGAAUAAGGAUCGGCUAACUCCGUGCCAGCAGCCGCGGUAAUACGGAGGAUCCGAGCGUUAUCCGGAUUUAUUGGGUUUAAAGGGUGCGUAGGCGGCCUUUUAAGUCAGCGGUGAAAGUCUGUGGCUCAACCAUAGAAUUGCCGUUGAAACUGGGAGGCUUGAGUAUGUUUGAGGCAGGCGGAAUGCGUGGUGUAGCGGUGAAAUGCUUAGAUAUCACGCAGAACCCCGAUUGCGAAGGCAGCCUGCCAGGCCAUGACUGAUGCUGAUGCACGAAAGCGUGGGGAUCAAACAGGAUUAGAUACCCCUGUAGUC